UGGCGACUUUUUCUUCUGACAUUCAUUCACCAUUUCUACGCACAUCCCAUUACUUGCUCCAUUCUCCAUUUUGCCUUUCAAUUAUACAUCAUACACAUACCUCUCAGUUUUACUCCGUUUUCCAUUCUUCAUCCCAGUUAUACAUCACAAUCACAAGAUUCUUUUGCUAUCUUCAUUAAAAAAUUUGGGGAUGGAAUUCAUAGGUGGAAAAAGGACAGGUAGACCCAAAGGUGAGUUCAACGACAAUGGCGGUUUCAAGAAAUCGAAGUAAUAUUUGUUUUUCAUUCUUUUUUACACUCGUUAUUAGUUCUAGGGCUUUUUUUUUUUCCCUUUUCUUCUUUUUUUUUCAGCUACUUGCAGGUUUUACAUUGAACUUUGAGAAGGGAAAUCAAAAUUCUAGGUUAAAAGUCUGGCAUUCCAACAUUUGAAAGCUGGGCUUGAGGAAAAUUGAAUAGAAUUAGCUAAACAAUAUUGUAAACAUUUGGCAAUUAGAAAGAAAAUGGCUCGUUUGGCUUGAUGCUAUGAAAAUCAUAGUGUAUAAUUGGGUUGUUGUUGAUUCAAGAGAAGAUGGUUAUGAGAGGAAUAGUUUGUGUAUAUUAAUUUUGACCUUUUCUCAUCAAUAUUAUUAUUAUUUUAAAAUUUCAAAUUUUAGAUGUUAUGAUUUCUCCCACCUUGAAAUAAAUCUUUAGGAUUACCCUUUUUCCAAGUUUUUUUGUUGUAUUAAAUUUAUGAUGUUUGAAUUAAAUCAUAUGUAAAUGCGUUCUCCACUUGCCAGAGCUCGAGCUGAUUAUGAUUAUAUCUCAUCAAGCUGUUGUUGAUCGGCAAUAGUGGUAUGUGUUUCACGUACUUAACACUUUCACAUUCUGAUCGAAAUGUGUGAACACGCUUUUAUAUUUGAUUUUUGGCUGGGUAUUUAUAUAAAAGCCUAACAUAUCUUAAGAUUUUGCUGAUUUACCAUGGAAUCUCUUCAUUUCUUCUGCUGGGUUUUCUUUUCAAUACCCAAUUUCAUUAAUGGAUCUCACAAGGAUACGUGAGGUUGACGAGAAUGGCGUCACCCGCAUCGCCUAUUCUAUACCAAUAGCUUUCAAAUCUCAUUAGUCUUAAUCUCUCAAGCUCUACAGAAAAGAUUAUUGUUGAGCACAUACGGUGAGUUUUUCUUCAUUUAGUUUAUGGUGUUGCUCUGUUUCUUGAUAGUAUUGGAUUCUCUAUUUUUAUUUUCUAUUUGUCCUAAAAAAAUAUGAGACAUUGUUUUACCUAUCUCUUGAUGUAAUUUUUGUGGGUUUUGAUCCCUUUUUUGUCAGAUUCUCUGGUUCUUCAUUUUAUUGUGUUUCAUAUGCACUAACGUGCGUUGUUUUCAAUUAUUGUGUAACAUGCUUCUUAUUAUACAUGUUUCAAUCCAUUCUUUUUACCGUUCUGUAUAUCUAUGCGUAUAUUAUCGUAGAUAUUUUGAUGUUUAUGCAUUUUUUUUUUUUUUGGUCUUUCUGGAUCAACCCUAUGAACAGAAGAUCACAUUUUAAUUUGAAGUUUUUGAGUAAUUUCCAACCGUUAUAGUUACAAAUAGCCUUUUCAUUAUUGAUGGAUAUUGAUUGUACCUUUUCCUUGUUAUCCUUCUUUGCAAAUGUACAUUUUGUUGUCUACUUGAUGUUUAUGGGAUUUAUUUGGAGGCAUGAAAUUAAUAAGCAUGGCAAGCUGACCAUACUGGUAGAAUAGAUAGGCAAAGCCAUCAAUAGGUAGUUCGCCUAUUGAUAGCUUAAAUUAGAAGAGAUUAACAAUUGAGAAUCUAACAAACUUCACUAGUCUUGAACCAAGCUAUCCAGUUUAGUCAAUAUCCUAUGUAAGCAGAUAACAAAUUUUGGUUUUACUAGACAGAGAUCGUUGAUUGUAGAAGUUGUGAUUAUUUAUGGUGCUGAUUAUUUUGUACAUUUUGUUUUAAUUCAUUAUAAUUAAUUCUUUUCAAGUGGAACAAACAUUUUUCCUCUUGUUCUACCCAUUGUCAUUUCAUUUAAACAAUAUUUAAACAAGAUUGGUGGCUGUGGUAUGGACGUCAGAAGCAAACAAGGGUAAUCAACCCUUCUUGUCUUGAAUUUUCUUUUUACAAAUGUAAUAAUUAAUGUUCCAUAAUGAGUUUAUAAAUUCUUACACGAUAUCUUUGGUUUUGGUAGACACUUUCUGGACCCAUUAAUGCCCCUGCAAAGCUUCCGAACUGGAACUAUGGUGGGUCAAGCAUGGGCCAAGCUCUUAGAGAAGACUUUUAAGUCAUCUUAUAGUAAGCCGUCUUCCAUUUAAGAUAUUUUAUAAUGAAAUAUAUGCAUGCGCAUUAAUGCAUUGCAUGACGAUGAGACAAUCCUCAAACAAUUUACAAUGAUCCAUUCAGGAGGGUAAAUAACAUAUUGGUGAGUUAUUUUUCCCCUUAUUACUAAUAAAUAUUUUGUGUUUAAUUAUGUUGUUAUGUGGAUUAUAUGAUAUCGCCUUUUCUUUUUGCCUCAUAGAUCAUCUGUGAUGCUUACACCCUAGCUAGUGAGCCAAUUCCAACUAACAGAAGGAACAGUCUAACCAAAAUAUUUAGCAAUCCUAAUGUUGUUGCCGAAAAACCUUGCUUUCAUCAUUAUGUGCCAUUUGCGACUCCUCAUUUAGUUUACAUUUUACAAUCCCCAAUUUUUUAGAGCUAUAUCUAUAAUAGGUAUGGUGUUGAGCAAGAAUACACCUUGUUGCAAAAGGAUGUUGGACCUCAAAUAGUCAUCGCCGUCCGAUCAUCAAUCAGUUCUCUUUCUUUUGGAACCGCAAGGUGGCAACUCAGAUCGAUGGGAGACUAAAAUGAUGCCUUAAUACAUCAUCCAAACUCCGCUGUCCAUGCCCAUGCAAGGCUCUUUUUAUGAUCCUAGCAUCCUACCUUUUUAUGUUUGUCUAUUCGUCAUCUUAAUCUUUUCAGUUGUUAAUAGUGGCGGAUCCAGAGGAUGGCCGCCCUAGCUGGAUCCACCGGGAUUUUUUUGGAUGCGUAACCUGCGUAGUGAUAUCGUUGUGGUCCCUGAAGCCAUAGUUAAUUCAAACAGGAGGUCACCAGUAAGGUAUAUACUUUUCUCCAAUCUUCUACGUGUGAUCAUUUUGGGUAAAAAAUUUUGAGCAGUCAAACUUCCACUGUUAUGCUCUUAAUUCAAUUAGAGAAGAAAUCUCACAAAUUGAGAAAGAAAAUGCUGAUGUUGAUAACAAUGUUUUCAAGGUAAAUGCGUUCCUUUGGGUCGACCUUUGCGGCUGUUUGAUGAAAGCUGGGUUUACAAUUCUUAUAUGUCCCAUUUGUAUACAUUAUUUUGAUGAUGACAUCUGCUAUUUCAUGAAAGUCAAUUUACAAAAUGACUCCGUAUCGUUAAAAAUAUAAAAUAAAUUAAUCAAUCUACAUG
Olea europaea var. sylvestris is the source of this 3395-nucleotide long non-coding RNA. RefSeq lists it as uncharacterized. NCBI's taxonomy places the organism in Eukaryota, Viridiplantae, Streptophyta, Magnoliopsida, Lamiales, Oleaceae. The transcript is spliced from 3 exons. The record is from RefSeq and is a predicted model, not a curated record.